Callorhinus ursinus (northern fur seal) is the source of this 605-nucleotide non-coding RNA. The record is from RefSeq and is a predicted model, not a curated record. NCBI's taxonomy places the organism in Eukaryota, Metazoa, Chordata, Mammalia, Carnivora, Otariidae.
UUGUUUCUAAACUUAGAGACACAGAGAAGCCUACAAAUAUGCUGAAUGAUCUGGGCUUAAGUCUGGAGAGCUCAUCCUGACCUCACAAAGGUUCUGUGUUGAUGGCAACAGUGAGAGUGGGAGUCUGUUUCCUCUGGAGCCCCUUCAGCCUCCCACAAGCACCUCUGAGUCCCAUCUCCACAAACACGAGCCAAGAGCACUUGUUUAGAGAUGUCCAGAACGUAUAGCUCUGGAGCUUGGGAGGAAAGACGAGACGAGUAUCUGGGAUCUGAAGCCAAGAAGUGAAGUUGCAGUCUUGGAGAUGGAUGCAAUUUGUGAGGGACGAUUAGAUAGAAUGAGAAGAGAUAUCCAAGGAUAAGACCAUUGGAAGCAUCAAUAUUUAUGGAGUGAGAAGGAAGAAAGGACAAAAAAGAGACAAAAGCAAUGGGUGUAGGGGUAAGAAGAAAAGCAGGACGGAAUGGUGUCUUCCUCGUAUUUUAGCAAACUGAACUCAUCACUCCUUAUUACCUGAGACUAUCAGGUGCUCUUCUGUUUCUAUGCCUUUACUUGUGACUUUUCAUUCUUUUAAAAAUACUUCCUAUUAAAAUCCAAGCCACUUCUCAGAG